This 269-nucleotide ribosomal RNA is filed under the name uncultured prokaryote. Its description in RNAcentral is "partial 16S ribosomal RNA". It matches the Rfam family "Bacterial small subunit ribosomal RNA", at positions 524 to 792 of the family's 1533-position model. The record is from RNAcentral.
UACGGAGGAGGCUAGCGUUGUUCGGAAUUACUGGGCGUAAAGCGCACGUAGGCGGAUCAGCCAGUCAGGGGUGAAAUCCCGGGGCUCAACCCCGGAACUGCCCUUGAUACUGCUGGUCUGGAGUUCGAGAGAGGCGAGUGGAAUUCCGAGUGUAGAGGUGAAAUUCGUAGAUAUUCGGAGGAACACCAGUGGCGAAGGCGGCUCGCUGGCUCGACACUGACGCUGAGGUGCGAAAGCGUGGGGAGCAAACAGGAUUAGAUACCCGUGUA